RNAcentral lists this ribosomal RNA (1579 nucleotides) under human metagenome. RNAcentral describes it as "bacterial LSU rRNA". It matches the Rfam family "Bacterial large subunit ribosomal RNA", at positions 421 to 1999 of the family's 2925-position model. The record is from RNAcentral.
GACACGUGAAAUCCUGUCUGAAUAUGGGGGGACCAUCCUCCAAGGCUAAAUACUCAUCAUCGACCGAUAGUGAACCAGUACCGUGAGGGAAAGGCGAAAAGAACCCCGGGAGGGGAGUGAAAUAGAACCUGAAACCUGAUGCAUACAAACAGUGGGAGCACCCAUGUGGUGUGACUGCGUACCUUUUGUAUAAUGGGUCAACGACUUACAUUCAGUAGCGAGCUUAACCGAAUAGGGGAGGCGUAGGGAAACCGAGUCUUAAUAGGGCGAAGAGUUGCUGGGUGUAGACCCGAAACCGAGUGAUCUAUCCAUGGCCAGGUUGAAGGUGCCGUAACAGGUACUGGAGGACCGAACCCACGCAUGUUGCAAAAUGCGGGGAUGAGCUGUGGAUAGGGGUGAAAGGCUAAACAAACUCGGAGAUAGCUGGUUCUCCCCGAAAACUAUUUAGGUAGUGCCUCGAGCAAGACACUGAUGGGGGUAAAGCACUGUUAUGGCUAGGGGGUUAUUGCAACUUACCAACCCAUGGCAAACUAAGAAUACCAUCAAGUGGUUCCUCGGGAGACAGACAGCGGGUGCUAACGUCCGUUGUCAAGAGGGAAACAACCCAGACCGCCAGCUAAGGUCCCAAAUGAUAGAUUAAGUGGUAAACGAAGUGGGAAGGCCCAGACAGCCAGGAUGUUGGCUUAGAAGCAGCCAUCAUUUAAAGAAAGCGUAAUAGCUCACUGGUCGAGUCGUCCUGCGCGGAAGAUGUAACGGGGCUCAAAUCUAUAACCGAAGCUGCGGAUGCUAGUUUACUAGCAUGGUAGGGGAGCGUUCUGUAGGCCGAAGAAGGUGCAUUGUAAAGUGUGCUGGAGGUAUCAGAAGUGCGAAUGUUGACAUGAGUAGCGAUAAAGCGGGUGAAAAGCCCGCUCGCCGAAAGCCCAAGGUUUCCUACGCAACGUUCAUCGGCGUAGGGUGAGUCGGCCCCUAAGGCGAGGCAGAAAUGCGUAGUCGAUGGGAAACAGGUUAAUAUUCCUGUACUUGAUUCAAAUGCGAUGUGGGGACGGAGAAGGUUAGGUUAGCAAGCUGUUGGAAUAGCUUGUUUAAGCCGGUAGGUGGAAGACUUAGGCAAAUCCGGGUCUUCUUAACACCGAGAAGUGACGACGAGUGUCUACGGACAUGAAGUAACCGAUACCACGCUUCCAGGAAAAGCCACUAAGCUUCAGUUUGAAUUGAACCGUACCGCAAACCGACACAGGUGGGCAGGAUGAGAAUUCUAAGGCGCUUGAGAGAACUCGGGAGAAGGAACUCGGCAAAUUGAUACCGUAACUUCGGGAGAAGGUAUGCCCUCUAAGGUUAAGGACUUGCUCCGUAAGCCUCGGAGGGUCGCAGAGAAUAGGUGGCUGCGACUGUUUAUUAAAAACACAGCACUCUGCUAACACGAAAGUGGACGUAUAGGGUGUGACGCCUGCCCGGUGCUGGAAGGUUAAUUGAAGAUGUGAGAGCAUCGGAUCGAAGCCCCAGUAAACGGCGGCCGUAACUAUAACGGUCCUAAGGUAGCGAAAUUCCUUGUCGGGUAAGUUCCGACCCGCACGAAAGG